This 384-nucleotide ribosomal RNA is filed under the name Zygodontomys brevicauda. RNAcentral's name for it is "partial 12S ribosomal RNA". Lineage: Eukaryota; Metazoa; Chordata; Mammalia; Rodentia; Cricetidae. The record is from RNAcentral.
CUUAGCCCUAAACAUUAAUAAUUUAUAACAAAAUUAUUUGCCCGGGAACUACUAGCUACUGCUUAAAACCCAAAGGACUUGGCGGUACUUUAUAUCCACCUAGAGGAGCCUGUUCUAUAAUCGAUAAACCCCGCUACACCUUACCACUUCUUGCUAAUUCAGCCUAUAUACCGCCAUCUUCAGCAAACCUUUAAAAAGAACAAAAGUAAGCAAGAUAACAAACAUAAAAACGUUAGGUCAAGGUGUAGCCAAUGAAGUGGGAAGUAAUGGGCUACAUUUUCUCUUAAGAGAACAUUAACGUUACCCUUCUUGAAAUUGAAGGACUAAGGAGGAUUUAGUAGUAAAUUAAGAAUAGAGAGCUUAAUUGAAUAGAGCAAUGAAGUA